AUGCAAUUUAGUUUAAGUAGAACAAUCAACUUGCACUUGGUAAGUGAAGAAAUUCAAUAGC
RNAcentral lists this transfer RNA (61 nucleotides) under Bimastos rubidus. RNAcentral describes it as "tRNA-Ala". The record is from RNAcentral. Lineage: Eukaryota; Metazoa; Annelida; Clitellata; Crassiclitellata; Lumbricidae.